This 347-nucleotide long non-coding RNA is filed under the name Linum usitatissimum (flax). RNAcentral describes it as "long non-coding RNA (LUSI_LNC002121)". Lineage: Eukaryota; Viridiplantae; Streptophyta; Magnoliopsida; Malpighiales; Linaceae. The record is from RNAcentral.
GGCUAACAAUAAUACUUUCAACAGUGAAAAUUUCACCAACGAACACUUUAUUCCAACCAGUCCUCGAUUGCAACGUUUCAGUUCCAAGGACAGCUGGAGUUCAAUUGCAUGCACAAAAUGACAACUGGAUUCACAAAAGCACACAACAUAAACAGUUUUCAGGUCCACUCCUUUCCAUCAGGCAUUUCAUUAACACCAGAAUGUAAUUACGCAGGUUACGUUACUCAUGAUGGUUCAUAUUAGAUUCGAUGUGUUUAAGAGUUCAAGAAAUAUUGUACCAUCAUUUUUAGCUGAAUCUCAUUUGGAUUUACAAAAGAAACCCUCUACAACAGUAUACUAUUAUGGAC